CAGUCGAGCGGUACAGAAAGUAGCUUGCUACUUUGCUGACGAGCGGCGGACGGGUGAGUAAUGCUUGGGAACAUGCCUUGAGGUGGGGGACAACAGUUGGAAACGACUGCUAAUACCGCAUAAUGUCUACGGACCAAAGGGGGCUUCGGCUCUCGCCUUUAGAUUGGCCCAAGUGGGAUUAGCUAGUUGGUGAGGUAAUGGCUCACCAAGGCGACGAUCCCUAGCUGGUUUGAGAGGAUGAUCAGCCACACUGGGACUGAGACACGGCCCAGACUCCUACGGGAGGCAGCAGUGGGGAAUAUUGCACAAUGGGCGCAAGCCUGAUGCAGCCAUGCCGCGUGUGUGAAGAAGGCCUUCGGGUUGUAAAGCACUUUCAGUCAGGAGGAAAGGUUAGUAGUUAAUACCUGCUAGCUGUGACGUUACUGACAGAAGAAGCACCGGCUAACUCCGUGCCAGCAGCCGCGGUAAUACGGAGGGUGCGAGCGUUAAUCGGAAUUACUGGGCGUAAAGCGUACGCAGGCGGUUUGUUAAGCGAGAUGUGAAAGCCCCGGGCUCAACCUGGGAAUUGCAUUUCGAACUGGCAAACUAGAGUGUGAUAGAGGGUGGUAGAAUUUCAGGUGUAGCGGUGAAAUGCGUAGAGAUCUGAAGGAAUACCGAUGACGAAGGCAGCCACCUGGGUCAACACUGACGCUCAUGUACGAAAGCGUGGGGAGCAAACGGGAUUAGAUACCCCGGUAGUCCACGCCGUAAACGAUGUCUACUAGAAGCUCGGAGCCUCGGUUCUGUUUUUCAAAGCUAACGCAUUAAGUAGACCGCCUGGGGAGUACGGCCGCAAGGUUAAAACUCAAAUGAAUUGACGGGGGCCCGCACAAGCGGUGGAGCAUGUGGUUUAAUUCGAUGCAACGCGAAGAACCUUACCUACACUUGACAUACNNNNNACUUACCAGAGAUGGUUUGGUGCCUUCGGGAANNNNNNNNNNNNUGCUGCAUGGCUGUCGUCA
This 1001-nucleotide ribosomal RNA is filed under the name uncultured bacterium. RNAcentral describes it as "bacterial SSU rRNA". It matches the Rfam family "Bacterial small subunit ribosomal RNA", at positions 59 to 1057 of the family's 1533-position model. The record is from RNAcentral.